AACGAACGCUGGCGGCGUGCCUAACACAUGCAAGUCGUGCGAGAAAGUUCCUUCGGGAGCGAGUAAAGCGGCGCACGGGUGAGUAACACGUAGGUAACCUGCCCCCCAGUCUGGAACAACUAGAGGAAACUCUAGCUAAUGCCGGAUGAGACCACGAUCCCUUCGGGGGUUGCGGCCAAAGAUGGCCUCUACUUGUAAGCUAUCGCUGAGGGAUGGGCCUGCGGGCCAUUAGCUUGUUGGUGAGGUAACGGCUCACCAAGGCUGUGAUGGCUAGCUGGUCUGAGAGGAUGACCAGCCACACUGGGACUGAGACACGGCCCAGACUCCUACGGGAGCAGCAGUGGGAAUAUU
RNAcentral lists this ribosomal RNA (351 nucleotides) under uncultured bacterium. RNAcentral's name for it is "bacterial SSU rRNA". It matches the Rfam family "Bacterial small subunit ribosomal RNA", at positions 29 to 365 of the family's 1533-position model. The record is from RNAcentral.